CUUGGUCAUUUAGAGGAAGUAAAAGUCGUAACAAGGUUUCCGUAGGUGAACCUGCGGAAGGAUCAUUAUUGUAAAACAGAGGGGGUGUCUUCCACCCUGCUCCGGCUUUGCGGCCGUGAGCGGGAGGUCGCGCUCCUUUCCACAACCAAACCCCUGUGCACAUCUCUGGGGACUUCUGGUGGGUUUGCGCCUGCCGAGUCCCUGGCUUUACACAAACUCUUCUAUGUAUUUAGAAUGUUCAAGGACCUCGCGUCCUGUUAACAAAUAACAACUUUCAACAACGGAUCUCUUGGCUCUCGCAUCGAUGAAGAACGCAGCGAAAUGCGAUAAGUAAUGUGAAUUGCAGAAUUCAGUGAAUCAUCGAAUCUUUGAACGCACCUUGCGCCCUUUGGUAUUCCGAUGGGCAUGCCUGUUUGAGUGUCUUGAAAUCAUCAAACCCCCGGUUUUGCGAUCGCGGGGCUUGGACUUGGGGGCUCUGCUGCCGCGAGGCGGCUCCCCUUAAAUGCAUCGGUCGGGCCUACUGGGGCUCCGUCACCUGGGCGUUGUAUUACCCUCGCUCUGCCGACGUGCCACAGCUUUGCGCGCCCGACCCCGACCUGCCUCUGGAGCGGCGGUCAACACUCUUUGAGAUCUGACCUCAAAUCAGGUAGGACUACCCGCUGAACUUAAGCAUAUCAAUAAGCGGAGGA
This 689-nucleotide ribosomal RNA is filed under the name uncultured fungus. RNAcentral's name for it is "eukaryotic LSU rRNA". The stretch from base 270 to 423 matches the Rfam family "5.8S ribosomal RNA". The record is from RNAcentral. Lineage: Eukaryota; Fungi.